ACACGAUAAUGGCAAACUUAUUGAAAGAUAAGGACGCAAAGCCACGGAUCUAAGGUUAUAUAGUAACUAUGAUCGCCGGGUUACCGAA
RNAcentral lists this non-coding RNA (88 nucleotides) under Bacillus sp. (in: firmicutes). RNAcentral's name for it is "Bacillus sp. c-di-GMP sequence". It matches the Rfam family "c-di-GMP-I riboswitch aptamer". From Rfam's summary of the family: GEMM was predicted in a large-scale screen for bacterial structured RNA regulatory elements. Genes associated with GEMM are involved in a diverse array of functions, including chemotaxis regulation, signal transduction, secretion and chitin. The record is from RNAcentral. RNAcentral also lists the same sequence under 1 other name. Lineage: Bacteria; Bacillati; Bacillota; Bacilli; Caryophanales; Bacillaceae.